UCUAGAGGGAAGUGUCCCUGCCUAUAGCAGGGUGGUUGAAACUAAAUGAUCUUAAAGGUCCCUUCCAACCCAAACCAUUCUAUGAUUCUACAGAAUUAACACUGAAGAAUCCUCUGGAGCUGGCCUUCACCAAGAUGUCCGUUCCAAAAGCUCACCCCUUUGAUCUUGGUAGAUGAGAGUGUUUCCCAGAAGCUGUGAAAACUUUUCCUGAAAUGAUCCCACUCUGCCUUCUGGCUGAAGAAUAUGACUGAUGUCUUUUCUUCCCCAGUGCAGAAGUACAUCUGUGGAGUAGAGAGACUAGAUGCUGAGAGAAAUCUGCUAUCACCAACUGCAGCAAAGAAGGCUUUACUCAAUGAAGGAAAUGCUCACUGGGAUGGGCGAUUAUGGGGCUGGAGCCUACCUGGGGUAGAAUAAGCAUCUGGACCGCUGAGCCUUCAUCCAGAUGGAAAGCUCUGAACGUAUCAGUUAAGUCAGCCUAACAUUCAGUGAAAUGAACUUUUACAUAUAUAGGAGUUUACCCUGUCUGAACGCUUGACUCCUUUGGAUAACAAAGCAGUGCCAUUUAUGACAAGUGCAGUGUCCAGGUGGCUAAAGAAUGACUAAGCCUUCAGCAUUUCUUCUGAGAUCACGAGUACGGCAACUUAACAACAGAUUUUCCUAAUAGUUUUAUGAUGUAAACUGCCUCACAAAUAAGAAAAUGAGCAAGACUAGUGAAAUAAAUCAUUUCAUAUAAUGUUUUUCAGACCAUUAUUUUCAACAAGAAUUGAACUGGUGACUUGAAGACAAUAAACCCAAAUCAUCUGCUGGACUCCUUCAUCCAUUCUUCUCAUAAUCUUGAACUGCAUUUCAAUAUCAACACUGUAGAAAACGAAGAAGAUUGAUGGCCACUUAAGAAAUUUUUCUAGACUAGUUUUACCACUUAGGUAACCAGCUAUUUAUAAAGCCACUGAAACAGCAUCCUACUGGUUUAUGGUCUCACAGUAUUUAUCACAAGAAUGAAGAACAAGUUCCAUGUUGGAUACUUGCAUCUUGAAACAUUAUGCAAGUGUAAGGAGGUGAGGAGCUGCACAAACAAGUAGCUUCAGACAUUGUCAGGGUAUUUAAUUCAGAUGUCAACAUUUUUGUGGGUUUCCCUGUAUGAUUUCUUGGCAAAAUGUAACCUAUGGGACAACUGCAUUCAUCCUGGCCCAGCAUCCUGGAACCAGGUAUGCAGUUCCCAUCUACUUUGGGAAGAAAAUGCAUGAGCAAAGUAAGAGCACAGUGGAGGUUGCUUUUGGGGUGCCAAAGAGAGCUGGACUGUGAAAUACUUGUUCUUCUGAAUCUGUGCUAUAUGAAAAUUCAGAACUCCUCUGAGAUAACACAGUGUAUAAUCACAAAGCCAGAUGUACUUCUAGAUUCCUUUCUGAGAUCAACUCAGAGGUACUCCCUGGCCUCUGGUAAAAUGGGGGAAACUGCAGUGUAGUGCCAACAUCAUCCUGCUUAGGAUCCCCAGAAGAGCAGUCUGUCUUCAUAAUAUCAGGUGACAGGAAGCUGGUAAUUAUAUUUUGAAAAUAAAGAUUUUU
This is a long non-coding RNA of Gallus gallus (chicken), 1562 nucleotides long. NCBI's taxonomy places the organism in Eukaryota, Metazoa, Chordata, Aves, Galliformes, Phasianidae. The record is from Ensembl.